RNAcentral lists this ribosomal RNA (301 nucleotides) under uncultured bacterium. RNAcentral's name for it is "partial 16S ribosomal RNA". It matches the Rfam family "Bacterial small subunit ribosomal RNA", at positions 509 to 809 of the family's 1533-position model. The record is from RNAcentral.
CAGCCGCCGCGGGAAUACGGAGGGUGCAAGCGUUAAUCGGAAUUACUGGGCGUAAAGCGUACGUAGGCGGUGUGUUAAGUCAGCUGUGAAAUCCCCGGGCUCAACCUGGGAAUGGCAGUGGAUACUGUCUCGCUAGAGUGUGUCAGAGGAGGGUGGAAUUCCAGGUGUAGCGGUGAAAUGCGUAGAGAUCGGGAGGAACACCAGUGGCGAAGGCGGCCAUCUGGACCAACACUGACGCUGAGGCACGAAAGCGUGGGGAGCAAACAGGAUUAGAUACCCCCGUAGUCCCUGUCUCUUAUAA